GAUUAGUAUAAACGAGUGGCAAACGGAUGACUAGGAUGUUAUAAUUUGAGGACGUUAUAAAUACGAAAGAUGGGCAGAGAAGGUAUGAAAGCCCAUUUUCCAUAAGUAAACCUAAAUUCUAAACCCUAGGAAUUGAAACAUCUUAGUACUAGGAGGAAAAGAAAUCAAGCGAGAUUCCGUGAGUAGUGGCGAGCGAAAGCGGAUAUAGACUAUGGAAUCCCGCCUUUAGGGGCGGGGAUGAAAUUGAAAACCAAAGAGGGUAACAGGCCCGUAGAUAAAAUCGAUGAUUCCGUAGUUCUUGGAGUAGAACUAUUUGAAGAAAGGUGCUCCAUAUAUCUAAAACUAAAUAUUAUAACAUACCAAUAGUGAAUUAGUACUGUGAAGGAAAGUUGAAAGAGAUAAUAGUGAAAUAGAGCCUGAAAUUUGCCAUCUCACAAGCAGACGAAAUUCGUUGUACCUUUUGUAUAAUGGGUUCGCAAGAUAAAUAUUUGGCAAACUUAAGUUAAUAGACGUAGGUGUAGUGAAAACGAGUUUGAAUAGAGCGUUAGUCAAAUAGAGCCCGAAACCAAGUGAUCUAGCCAUGGGCAGUUUGAAACCCGUUUAAUAGCGGGCGGAGGAACGAACCGGUGAUUGUGGCAAAAAUCUCGGAUGACCUGUGGCUAGGGGUGAAAAGCCAAUCGAACUUGGAAAUAGCUGGUUUUCUGCGAAAACUAUUGAAGUAGUGCGUCAUAUGGCGGGAUAUCCGGGACGCAUCGGACCGACAUAGUCGGUCCGACGUCCUCGGAUAUCAGUAUAUUCUUACACAGUAAAGCACUGAAUGGGUUUAGGGGUUAGGCCUACUAAAUUCAACCAAACUAUGAAGGUGUAAGGAGAAAAUAUGAUAGACAGACAGUGGGCGAGAAGGUCCAUUGUCAAGAAGGGAACAACCUAGAUCAGAAGUUAAGGUCAUAAAUAUAAUCUAAGUGUAAAAGGGAAUUUGUAAAUUAAGACAAUGAGAAAGUAGGCUUGGAACCAGCCAUCUUUGAAAGAUUACGUAACAGUUCACUCAAUAAAUUUAUAGAUCCCAAAAAUUAUGGUGGCUUAAGCUUGUUAUACUAGCCACCUAGGUUAUCCUAGGUGGCCCCCUAGUCUCACUAGGGGGUAUGAAACCGAAACUCUGAAUAAAUACCAUAAGGGGCGAGGCCCCGGUGGCUUAUAGUGGUAGCAGAACGUACUGUAAAUAAUAACCAUCGGCCAAUCAAGCCGAUGGUUGGUUAUUGCGAAAGCGUUUAUCAGGAGUGAUAAUGCGAACAUGAGUAAAAAACAGUGUGAGGAUCACUGCUCACGGCCCAAGGUUUCCAAUCAUAGGAUUAUCCGGAUUGGGUUAUACAGUCCCUAAGAGGGCUUCAUAGUAUUCGGCGCCGAUGGUAUCAGGCCCCAUAGGAGCCUGUGCCUCGGUGCUAUUUCGAUGGGAGUAUUUAAUAACAAGUGUCUAAGAUAUUAUAAGAACUUAUUCAGGGUCGUAAGACCCUAGGCUGUACUAAAACUAACACCAGUGGGCAUAAAAGUGAUGGUAUAAUUUAUCUUAAGGAACUCGGCAAAAUGUCCCUGUAAGUUCGCAAGAAGGGGAGCCAGCUAUAGACAGAGGUAACCUGGACUAGGUUAUCUAAUUUGACUGGUCUCAGAAAAGAGGGGGUGUCGACUGUUUACCAAAAACAUAGCUUCCAGCAAAGGGCCAAGGGCCUGAAGUAUUGGAGGUGAGGCCUGCCCAAUGGUUGUAUCUAAAACCAAGUAAUAAAAAAAGUUAGCUUGGGUAAGGACAAUUGAAUGGCCGCGGUAAAUCUGACCGUGAUAAUGUAGCGCAAUCAAUAGCCAAUUAAUUGUUGGCAAGUAUGAAUGGCUUAACGAAUGCCCCGCUGUCUCAAGAUAAAAACCAAUGAAAUUGAAUUCGUAGUGAAGAUGCUACGUAUAAAUUGUUAGACGAGAAGACCCCAUUGAGCUUUACUGGAGACUUAUAUGGUUCUUUACCAAUUAAUUGUGUAGACUAUGUGGGUAAACCCUCGCGUAUGCCGGCACGGAAGCUACGCUUCCAUGCCGCAUGGGGUUAUAAUGCUAUAUCCGAGGACGAAGCCCCGGAUAUCCUUAAUGAAAAACCACUCUUUAAUUAUAAAAAGAACUAAAAUAAUGGAAAGGUAUAUGUCAGACAGUUUGGUUGGGGCGACCGCCUUCUAAAGAGUAACGAAGGCGUACAUAAGGUUAAUAAUAUAAUAGUAUAAAGUUUAAAGCCUGACAGCAAGGAGGACGUCCGAGCUGACACGCCGUAGGCAGCUGCGGCUGGCCUAUUCCGUGGGUUAUAAUGACCCGUUAGCUUAGAAUGGGAUAGCUAACGAGCAACGAAUAAAAGUUACCAUGGGGAUAACAGCGUAAUAUCGUUUGAGAGUUCAUAUCGACGACGAUGUUUGCGACCUCGAUGUUGAAUUGCGGGAUCCUGGAGGUGCAGCCGCUUCCAAGGGUUGGACUGUUCGUCCAUUAAAGCCGUACAUGAUUUGAGUUCAGACCGGCGUGAGCCAGGUCGGUUUCUAUCUACAAUUUAUGUAGGAAACAUUAGAUAUAACUAUAUUCUAGUACGAAAGGACCGAAUGAUUAGUUAUCCGCUGGUGAACCAAUUGUAGUUAAUCAAGGUCGAUGGCGAGGAAGCUCCGCUUCCAUGCCGCCUGAAGUAUUACUGUUGGGUGGCUACGAUAAUUAAAAUAAUCACUGAAUGCAUCUCAAGUGAGAAGUUAAAUAUCAUUCUAUGUUUCCAAUAUAUAGACUGUUUGAGAAUAAAACGUGGAUAGGAUCUGUGUUUAU
RNAcentral lists this ribosomal RNA (2829 nucleotides) under Ephydatia fluviatilis. Its description in RNAcentral is "partial 16S ribosomal RNA". It matches the Rfam family "Bacterial large subunit ribosomal RNA". Lineage: Eukaryota; Metazoa; Porifera; Demospongiae; Spongillida; Spongillidae. The record is from RNAcentral.